Long non-coding RNA from Alligator mississippiensis (American alligator), 1036 nucleotides. RefSeq lists it as uncharacterized. Lineage: Eukaryota; Metazoa; Chordata; Crocodylia; Alligatoridae. The transcript has 4 exons. The record is from RefSeq and is a predicted model, not a curated record.
CGCCUCCCCGCGCAUCUCAGAGCAGCACCAGCAUCAGCAGGGGCAAGGAGAAGGCGAAGAAGAGGCAGUAGGAAAGAAGUAACCAAGCAAGGUCCCGUGGAAGACAGUUGCAAGACUCCUAUCAACUUUGAAGGGGCAGCAUUAGGCCCAAGGGAGUCCAUGAAGAGGUCUACACUGAAGUCACAGCUUUCAUAAACAAAUAGCAUCAGUAACAAAAAAGGAGGCAAAACAGAUUUCGGCAUGGGACCAUCAGAGAUACUGGGAACAAAGGCUGGAUGGCACUUCAUGGGACCUCAAGUCUAGACCCCUGUAUUCACAGGCAACCUUGUAUCCAGAGUCCUAAAAAUCAUCUGCCCCAGUCCCUCACAAACUACAGCCAUGUAGCACAAUGUGGGGGGGAUAAGAACACCCAGCAACAUGCAACAGGUGGAAGAACAUCUUAUCCCAGGAAUGCUCAUGAAAUUGAAACACCACCUGGAGAAGCACCUCUUCCAUGGCAGCUCAGCUGAACUCUUCAAGUUCAUCUGUUACAACCACUUAGAACCUGAUUUCUCCGGGCUACAUAAACCAACGUAUGACAAGGGCUGCUACUUCUAUAGCUUGCAAGCUAUUCCCAUUACCUUACCUUGCCAGCAAGGGAGGGUUAUGCUAUGUAUUCCUGACUAAGGUUUUGGUAAGCAAGGUAGCCCCUGAAAAGAAACACCUUCACCCAUCCCUUCCCCUGGGUGGCAUUAGUACGAUUCACGGGUCAACAGCAAAAGGAGCCCCAAAAAUCUAUGCAGUCUUUGAAGACUGCCAAUGCUACCCAUACUUCCUCAUCUCCUACAAGGUACUCUCUGAUCCUAUACCAAUAGAUGGUUAAUCGUGAGAGAAACAGACAGAGAGACAGAGAUAGCAGCAGAUGGUUAAUCAUGAGAGAGAAAGAAAGAGAGAGAGAGAGAGAUACAUAGCUUUAUAGGUAGAUAGAUCUGAGAGUAAGAAUCAGAAUUUUCUUGUAUUUAGAAUAAUUUAAAAUAAAAUUGGCUUAUGUAUUUAA